GGCAAACACCACACCCAAUGUACUGUCUCCAGCCGAUACACCUAUGGUCGGCUAUCAUCCAAAUCACAUCAAUAUACUAUAUAUAUAUAUAUAUAUAUAUGUAUAUAUAUAUUGUCAAUUAUAAAUGAACAAACACCGUUGAACCAUCUAACACCCUAGUUCCGGUUUAAGCAAAGAACCUAAAAACUAAACAAACAAUGACAGACUCGAUUUUAC
This 216-nucleotide long non-coding RNA is filed under the name Brassica napus (rape). Its description in RNAcentral is "long non-coding RNA (BNAP_LNC020232)". The record is from RNAcentral. Lineage: Eukaryota; Viridiplantae; Streptophyta; Magnoliopsida; Brassicales; Brassicaceae.